UUUUGACCUCAAAUCGGGUGAGACUACCCGCUGAACUUAAGCAUAUCAAUAAGCGGAGGA
This 60-nucleotide ribosomal RNA is filed under the name Lactifluus velutissimus. Its description in RNAcentral is "partial 28S large subunit ribosomal RNA". It matches the Rfam family "Eukaryotic large subunit ribosomal RNA", at positions 1 to 57 of the family's 3401-position model. Lineage: Eukaryota; Fungi; Basidiomycota; Agaricomycetes; Russulales; Russulaceae. The record is from RNAcentral.